Molecule: ribosomal RNA, 253 nt
Filed under: uncultured bacterium
Lineage: Bacteria
Description: partial 16S ribosomal RNA
Rfam family: Bacterial small subunit ribosomal RNA
Source: RNAcentral
UACGUAGGGUGCAAACGUUGUCCGGAAUUACUGGGUGUAAAGGGUGCACAGGCGGUUUUGUGCGUCAGAGGUUAAAUGCCACGGCUCAACUGUGGACCUGCCUUUGAUACGGCAAGACUUGAGUGGAAGAGAGGAUGAUAGAACUCCUGGAGUAGCGGUGAAAUGCGUAGAUAUCAGGAAGAAUACCAUUUGCGAAGGCGGUCAUCCGGCUUUCAACUGACGCUUAAGCACGAAAGCGUGGGUAGCGAACAGG